RNAcentral lists this long non-coding RNA (230 nucleotides) under Vigna radiata. Its description in RNAcentral is "long non-coding RNA (VRAD_LNC009136)". Lineage: Eukaryota; Viridiplantae; Streptophyta; Magnoliopsida; Fabales; Fabaceae. The record is from RNAcentral.
UGUGCGUAAAAAAAAAAUCUAUGGAAGAAAACUUUAAAGCAUAAUAAAAAUAGAAAAAUAAAAGUGCAGAGGUGACAUACCUUUUUUAGCUUCUGGAAUUCCCUAAGUGAUUCUUUAGUGGUUGUUGUUGACAAAACCUUAUGUAUGAGAACUUAUUUUUUUUCUAUACUCUCUCUUUCAAUCUCUAUUAUUUCUAUCUCUUUUUCUCUAUUUUUUACCGUCCCCAUUUU